CCGGAAUCGCCCGAGGCCUGAGCCAAGGGGGACGCGGCGGGCGCGGCUCAGGCAGGGCCCUCAGGUUAGUGGGUCCGGGCUGUUCCCGCGCUUCGGCCUCAUCCUCCCUGGCUGCCCUCUCCUGAUGAACGCCCCGCGAGCGGAGUCACCACCGCCAGCGAGGAGACGCGCCGCCUUGACUGGGGCCCUGGCCCCGGGACAGGCGAGCAGGAAGGGAUAGAAGGGACGGAAGCGCGGGCAGGACUAGGAGGAGCCCAUCCCCGAGCUAUGCGUCCCUAGAGCCACUGGGACCCGGGGCUCCAGCCAGCCCUGCGGAGGCGAGCCAGACCGGGGACCAGGGCGCCGGGAAGACGACUCCUGGCCAGCGGGUGCUUCUGUGAAAAAACGCAAGCCGUUUGGAGACAGGCACAGCCGGGAAAGGGUCCCCUUGCCCCUUGGCUCGCAGAGGGCGUCCGUGUUCGGCGCUCAGUCUUCUGGGUGUUUUCCCCGUGCUCCGGUUCUGAGAUGGGAACUGUUCCACGUGCACUGCGAUGCAGCUCGGUCUUUUUAACAGGUUUUAGACUGGCGUUUCAUGAAAAACCUUAUCAAUUACAAUCAAAAUUUGGAAACUAUGUGCAGUGGUUCACACCUAUAAUCCCUUCACUUUGGGAGGCUGAGUUGAUGGGAUUGCUUGAGGCCAGAAUUUGAGAC
Long non-coding RNA from Piliocolobus tephrosceles (Ugandan red Colobus), 690 nucleotides. RefSeq lists it as uncharacterized. The record is from RefSeq and is a predicted model, not a curated record. The transcript is spliced from 3 exons. NCBI's taxonomy places the organism in Eukaryota, Metazoa, Chordata, Mammalia, Primates, Cercopithecidae.